UUAACUCAAAUUUGUAUAGAGUCGGAACGUUUGCCUAGAUUUGCCGCUAGGGGCGCUGUUCCAACUGCAUACAAAUUUACUUUU
Molecule: non-coding RNA, 84 nt
Organism: Bombyx mori (domestic silkworm)
Lineage: Eukaryota; Metazoa; Arthropoda; Insecta; Lepidoptera; Bombycidae
Source: Rfam